RNAcentral lists this ribosomal RNA (207 nucleotides) under uncultured bacterium. RNAcentral's name for it is "partial 16S ribosomal RNA". It matches the Rfam family "Bacterial small subunit ribosomal RNA", at positions 568 to 774 of the family's 1533-position model. The record is from RNAcentral.
UGUGUAGGUGGUUGGAUAAGUUAGAUGUGAAAUCCCUGGGCUUAACCUGGGAACUGCGUUUAAAACUGUUCAGCUAGAGUACUGUAGAGGAUAGUGGAAUUUCCAGUGUAGCGGUGAAAUGCGUAGAUAUUGGAAGGAACACCAGUGGCGAAGGCGACUAUCUGGACAGAUACUGACACUGAGACACGAAAGCGUGGGGAGCAAACA